Ornithodoros turicata is the source of this 376-nucleotide long non-coding RNA. RefSeq lists it as uncharacterized. The record is from RefSeq and is a predicted model, not a curated record. The transcript has 4 exons. NCBI's taxonomy places the organism in Eukaryota, Metazoa, Arthropoda, Arachnida, Ixodida, Argasidae.
UCUCAGUUCAGGCAGCAGCAGUACCAGGUGUAUGUACAUAACUUCCAAGACACACGAGUGCAAUUCUGAAGCUGAUUUUCAGCCAUGGAGAGAAGAAAUGCAGGAUGCAGCCAAGAGUCAUUUUACUAAAGGCACAGGGAGAGGACACAUCAAAGGAAAAGGUCCAUCAAAUCACAAUGUUCCGUCAGGCGUGGGGACACCUGCCUUGCUGAUAUGUCUGCAAUGUUCCAAACUGGCAAGUGCUAAACCUGCUGUGAUACUGCGGAACAAAAAUGCCAAACAACUCCGCUUUGUCUCAACAAAGAUGCAAGGAGUUAAAACGGGUGCAGCUAUGUGAAAGCAGCUAUGUGUUCGAACAGCUACUGGGAAUUCAGAA